AAGAUUCCUCUAAUCUGACGGUCACAAAUUGUGCACCCUCAGAUAUCGCGCCCAAUUCUCGGUCUUUUGACUAAGACCACCGAACUCUUCAUGCGCAGUCUCUUGUUUCUGAUCAAACCCUAGCACUUGCAGGUGAAACAAACCCCGAUCUCCGUCUCCGACUAUGGCUCCCAAACGUCCGUCACCGUUGGAUGAGCCUCCGGCAGCGUCUUCCUCCGAAGAAGAAGAAACCUCAUCUGGUGAGGAAGAGGAAGGCAUGUCCAGAGACGGAUCUUCCUCUGAAGACGAAGAGGAUGAAGAAGAAACUCAAGCUCAGGUUCAGACUCAGGCUCAGACUCAGACUCAGACUCAGACUCAGAAACCGAAGAAGCUUUUUGCUCUUCCUUCCACUCCUGUUGUCGAGAAAAAAACCGCACCUAAGAAAUCUGAACUUGCUUCUAACUCCGUGGCUCAGUCUUCUUCCUCAGAGAGCGGCUCCGGAUCCGACACCGAUUCGGAUACUGAGUCCGGAGGAAACGUCAAGCCGAUUGCUUCUAAGCCGAUGGAAGAGACUCCAAAGGUGAAAAAGCCCAGAUCCAAGCCUUCCACCUCAGCUACGCCUGUGGCGAGAUCGUCUUUGAAGAGGCCUAUUGAGACGAUAAGAGAUGGAAAACGGCCAAAGAAGAGUUCUGAGGCUGACGCUGAUGAUGGGGUUGUGGCGGAAGACGAUUCCAAGAAAUCUGUUGACGAGUCCAAAAAGCUUUUUCAGAGACUGUGGAGUGAGGACGACGAGAUUGCUAUACUGAACGGUAUAAUUGAAUAUUCAGCCAAGAAGGGUGCUGACCCAGCUUUGGAUAUGAAUGCAUUUCAUGAUUUCAUCAAGAAAUCUCUUCAUGUCGACGUAACCAGAGUCCAAUUAGUGGAUAAGGUACGUCGACUGAGGAAGAAAUAUAGGAACAAUGUCGAUAGAGGGAAGAAGGGUGCAGACCCAACGUUUUCAAAGGCCCACGACCGGAAAGGUUUUGAACUGUCAAAGAAAAUAUGGGGCGGCGAAGGAAUUAUCCGAACUUCGGUUGUGGAGCAGCCCAAGCCAAAUGCUAAUGGCACUCCGAAGAAGAAUCAAAGAGGUAACACCAGCAAGUCACUAGCUUCACUGAAAGUUGAGUUGCUUCCUUCUCCAGAGGCCCCGAAGGAGGAUGAUAAGAUGAAAGUCGAUGAUAGCGAGGCUCCUUCAGGCUGCAUGGAUGGUUUUGUUGCCUUUGAAAGGUCUUUGGGUGCUGUUGGCUUGCCGGAAAGUUUUUUGAAGCCAGGAUUAGAGUUAAUUGGGCAAUCCAAGAGAACAGAGCUGGAGGAGGAGUGGAAGAAAUUGCAUCUUGCGGAACUGGAGCUUUUUCUGAAGAGGACGGAGUUGAUUAGGGACCAGACGAAGUUGAUACUGGACGCGUACAAGUCAUCUAGCAAGUAAGGAAUUGAAGUUUGGACAAGAGUAUAACUUCCAGACCAUGAUCUUACGCAAUUUCAUAACUUCGCGUCUCUUUAGUAUGAAUGUAGUUAUAUUUAAACAGAACUCUUGAGAAAUGGUUAACGAAAAGAUUCUUCUUAAGAGUUCUCCGAACCAAGAUAAUGCAUAUUUUAUAACUCCGAAUAGGAGGAAUAUCAUUUUAUAUGGGCAUAGAAUGGUUUCAAGAAUUUGGGAGUAGUAUCUAGCUACGAAUUGAAGUAACAUGCAGAAGUUGAAAAUGGUCCAUUGCACAAGAUCUUACAGCUGAAACUGAAAAAGAAAGUGAAGUUCAUUGAUCGCGUUUUUUUAGAACAUGAAGAUCAAAGAACUAGACGUGGCCUGUAGCUCUGGCAGGAUUCCCGUGGUUGUGGCAGCUUUGUCUCCUCCGUGUUCUGCUGUGAUUGAAACAUAAUAUGCAACUGCUGAUGGGUCGUGCACGAAGCACAGACAAAAGUUGAUUGUGAGCAAGCCCGCAUGACUUUCUCGACCUUGUGUUAUACAUUGCCCGGGAGAUAAGCAAGGAGAAUCCAACCACUAGUGCAAUCUUGAUGUAAUUGUGAUUCAUAAACAUUAGAUUCAACAAGGUUUGGAUUCGUCUAGUUUGUGUGUGUUUUCAGACAAGUCUAAUAGGACUUUUGGAGAUCUCCCAAAUUGCAACCUUGAAUACUAAGGAAGGAACAUUAAGAGGGAAGGUAAGACACUUACCAUGCAAA
This is an RNA transcript of Benincasa hispida (wax gourd), 2193 nucleotides long. It is a transcript of the gene named DNA-binding storekeeper protein-related transcriptional regulator, with no coding region annotated. The record is from RefSeq and is a predicted model, not a curated record. Lineage: Eukaryota; Viridiplantae; Streptophyta; Magnoliopsida; Cucurbitales; Cucurbitaceae.